GUGCCAGCAGCCGCGGUAACACCGGCAGCCCAAGUGGUGGCCGCUUUUAUUGGGCCUAAAGCGUCCGUAGCCGGCCAGGUAAGUCCCUGUGUAAAUCUUCAGGCUUAACUUGAAGAAUUGCGGGGAUACUGCUUGGCUUGGGGCCGGAAGACGUGGAGGGUACUCCGGGGGUAGCGGUGAAAUGCUGUAAUCCUCGGGGGACCACCAGUGGCGAAGGCUCUCCACGAGGACGGGCCCGACGGUGAGGGACGAAAGCCAGGGGCGCGAACGGGAUUAGAUACCCCGGUAGUCCUGGCCGUAAACGCUGCAGGCUUGGUGUUGCACGCUCUACGGGGGCGUGCAGUGCCGAAGCGAAGGCGAUAAGCCUGCCGCCUGGGAAGUACGCUCGCAAGAGUGAAACUCAAAGGAAUAGGCGG
Molecule: ribosomal RNA, 416 nt
Filed under: uncultured bacterium
Lineage: Bacteria
Description: bacterial SSU rRNA
Rfam family: Archaeal small subunit ribosomal RNA
Source: RNAcentral